Molecule: long non-coding RNA, 345 nt
Organism: Mercenaria mercenaria
Lineage: Eukaryota; Metazoa; Mollusca; Bivalvia; Venerida; Veneridae
Exons: 2
Source: RefSeq, a predicted model, not a curated record
AUUUUGACCAGUUUUUGCAUUUAAGUGUACCCGGUUUCGCACACCAUGCUAUUUAUAGAAUUCAGUGAUAGUAAUGCAUUUACCCAAAAGAAAAAUUUCAAUUAACUUUUUAACUAACCUACUGGUCUCCAUUAGUAUUGUUAUUGUUUUCGUCUGCACCUACCAGAACGAGGCUAAAGCGGGGAUGAACCCCUUGUGUCAAUUUAUGUAGGGAAUAACUCAAUUUUGUGAAAUAAUAACAAAGAAUUGUUGAAUUUUCUGCUUUAUUCUCACAAAGCACAUGAAUUUGCUGGGUGUGCGAAACCGCGUACAGUGCGAAACCGGGUACACUGACUCUAAUGUUUU